RNAcentral lists this long non-coding RNA (5066 nucleotides) under Canis lupus familiaris (dog). RNAcentral describes it as "lncRNA (ENSCAFG00000057787.1)". The record is from RNAcentral. Lineage: Eukaryota; Metazoa; Chordata; Mammalia; Carnivora; Canidae.
UUUUGUGAUCUCUACCCCAACAUGGGACUAGAACUCAUGACCUCAAGAUCAAAAGUCACAUGCUCUACUGAUUGAGCCAGCCAGGAACCCCUCUGAGGCAAAUUAUUUAACCUUUCUGAAACUCAGUUUGCUAGCUAAAUAUUAUAAUUAUCUCAUGACACCCAAGUUGACCUCAUAGGGUUGUUGUGAGGAAUAAAUGCGAUCUUCUUUGCCUAGCAUGUAGGAGCUGCCCGUUAAAUGCCAAGUGAAUGAUUGUAUAGAUGAUGGUUGCUUUGAGCUGGUGUGUGCACAGUGCCCUGCACAGUACCUGUUGUGAAGGACAGGUGAAGGGGAAAAGGUAAAAGGAUCAAGAGGAGUUGGGUUUGCCUCAGAUGUCAGUUUCUGCCAGCUGGGAGAUGGCAGAUACUUAGAAUGUUUAGCUUCUCAGACCAUCUAAAACUGUCACCCUAAAUUCACUGAGAAAUUACCGGGAGGCUUGGGGUUUUAUGCAGAAUGAUGGGCAAGGCCAUUGUAAGGGAUGAUCCUGGUGACAUAUGUAUAUUCCUUGAAACUCCUCCUCUUCUAAAUCCUCUGUCUUGCUUCAGAGGUUCCAUCCCUCUUCAACGUAUUCCCUAGUUUGCUUAAGCUCUUCUCCUCCCCAUCCUCUUUUUUAAAAGAUUUUAUUUAUUUAUUUGAGAGAGAGAGCACGAGCAUGAGUAGGGGGAAGGGGCAGAAGGAGAGGGAGAAGCAGACUCCCUGCUGAGCAGAGAGCCACAUGUGGGGCUUGAUCCUGGGACCCCAGGAUCAUGACCUGAGUGGAAGGCAGAGGCUUACCUGACUAAGCCACCUGGGUGCCUCUCCCCAUCCUAUUUCUUCAUGCACCUUGUCCAGCGUCUUUCCCCUGUUUGGAUUGUCUUCCACUUCUUACUUCAUCUCUUCCACCCAACCUUCUGGGGUAAAUCCUUGCUCCUCAUUAUUUUGAACCAAAUGGGCAGAUUCCCAGUUAGCACAGGAUGGAUCUCUGCUUACCUCAUUUGUGUAUUUCUCAUUUGUCUGUAGAGAGUUACAUUUCUGGAGAGUAGCCAUCACAGUGCCCAAACAACAACAACAACAACAACAACAACAACAACAACACUUGCUCAAUACAUAUAUUUUGGGUGAUUAUCAUGUAUCUCUUUAGACCUUCCAACAAAUAACAGGGAAGUGCCUAUGUGGAGAGCUGUGAUUCAUUUUUAGUGUGUGUUUGGAGACAUCAUGUUACUUCCCAGAGCCUAAGUUUCAUAAAUUGAGAGUAUUGCGUUUGAUCACUAGGGUCUUUUCCAGUAAGACAAGUAUGUGAUUCUAGGAAGUAUGUGGGUAAUAACUUAUAUGCUAGGCCGUCUUUGCAUGGCUGGCUCCUUGUAAUUCAGGGCCCCUAGUCACUCUAAUGUAUGGCCCCAGCUUUUAAUUUCGGAUGGUGAUAAGUUCAAGGAAGAGACUGUCUGCCUUCCUCCCUCCCUUCCUUCCCUUUUUCUCUCCUUCCUUGUUUGUUUAUUGUCUGUCUCUCCUCACUAAAAUGUGAGCGGCCAAGAGUUCAAGGCCCAUAUUUUAUUCACAGUUGCUUCCCUAGCAUCAAUAACGGUGCCUAUUGUACAGUGGGUGCUCUGUAAAUAUUUGUUCAAUGAAUGAAUGAGGUCCAUUAAACUGGAUAAAUCCACUUGUACUUGGACUGUGAAUAGCCACAUGCUUGCCACUAGACGAGUUCUAGUAGUUCAUCCCAUAUUCCAUCUAGAACUACACAUCAGUUGGGCUGGCUAGAUGGGUUUCCUCAUUGCCUGCAAGUCUCAGGGCAGGAAAUGCCACCACAACUUCAGCUGUUUAGGCAUCAAUGUUUGUCAUGCUGUUCCUUUUGUCUUUUAUAUCAUGCAGUGGCUUCUUACAGCCUGGGCUUUAGGAACCAUGCAUUUUAGUGGCCCCAGCCUUGUGACUAUGAUUUGAAGAUUUGUUUUAAUUUAUGAGUUCUUUGGACCAGUCCUUUCUCCCUUAUGAAGCAAGUCUGGAACCAUCAUUUGGUAAAUCCUGUUGAUAGUUUUUCAUCUCCCCCUGGCUGGUUCAUUACACUGUCUGGUUUAUAUGGUCUCCCUGUAGAUUGUCAGCUCAUUUGUAUAGUGGUUUGUUCUAUCUACAAUGCUUCAUUGUUUUCAAAGAAAAAUAGUGUUCACCAGCAAGCAUGGCCUCCGAUCUUGCUCUGCUGAGAUUCUGCAGAUAAAACAGCUCUGUAGAUGAAUGCUUGCUUGAGGCCCAGGGCUAGUGGAAUUUAGUGCCUUUCUGAAACUAAGUGUUUUGGGCAGGGUGGUGAUCUGGAACAGCUAGGACCUCUAGGAUGGAAACAGGAGUCAAUCUUAGUCAAACUGUAGAGCAAGGGCAAGGAGAGGGUGGGAAGAAUGAUGAAUAUGUACCAGGGACUAUGUUGUGCAUGAUUAUCUAAGUUAAUCCCCUGGCAAAGCAGGAGAAAACCAGUGCUUAUUGAUUUAGGUACCUACGGUGAGUAGGCUCAGCUAUCGACUCAACACAGACCCGGCAAACAUUAAAGGUCAUGGUUUUUUCACUAUACUGUGCAGAGCCUAGAAUAGUGCCUGAUACAUCAGGGAAUCUUCACUGAAUGAAUGAAUAAGUGAAUGAAUGAAUAUUGGCCGAUCUUGGUUUUACUUCUUUGCAAUUUCCAUUUUGAUGCCCUCUUUUCCAUCCGACUCUAGAACUGUUGGCCAGUUAGCCCCCCUCCCUAACUUUGGUACUCCCCAUGGGUCUCCUAUUCUCUUAAGUCUCUGAUCCAUUCCUAACCCUGAAAACUGAGCUCUCCAUCCAUCCAGACCUUCCAAUCUCAAUCCUACUCCUUUCAGGACCUUUGCUAAGAGUUUAGUAAGAAAACAGGUGCCGUGUGUUUAUGGUGCUCAUUAUACCCUUUUCAGGGUCCUUCUUGAAGAAUUACUUUAGCGCAAAGAUAGAUCUCUAAUAGCAGCUGCUUUGCCACAGUUGCAGUUAGGUAGAGGGGUAGAUUUGGGGUGGGAGGGAAUUUGAACGUCUUUUCAGUUGUCCUAGGCCUUCUGCUGCUUCUACAUAUGCUGAGGAAGCAGAAUUGAGAGAGGAACGUAGGUUCGAGGAGAGUGUGUGUUUGGGAGAUAGAACAGGGGAUUGAAGGAUAUUCCCGCUAUGAGGAAGGCCCUAUCAGCUGCAGAUCAAGACUCGUAAGUUUCUAAUGCUGGAGAAUGAAAACAAAAUCUCUUCUCCAGACUUCUUCCCUAGAUGUUAAUGAAUAGGAUGGGGGCUUUUGUUUUCCUACCUUUUUAGAAAAUGUAACUCUGUAUAUAACAACCUAUCCUACUAUAAGAACCUAUCCAUCAUAAAUAGGGAGGUUUGGGAGCAGAGCUUUGAAGCCUAAAAGACCCUCAAACCACUGUAUCAGUGCAAUUCCUGUCAUUCCUCUGCCCAACCCUCCAGGGGUGCCCGCUUACAGAAACCCAGCCCCGGCAUCUGAGAAGUGUAGAAGCUUAGAGGGCAGCCCCUCCAAUUGUUUUCAGGUAGUAGGGUUAGGAAAUUCUCUUCUUACUUGUGACUUCCAUCUUUUAGCCUGUGUGUGGCCUUCCGAAGGGGAACAGAUUCAGUCCUGUGUCAAGCACAACUCCAGCUAUAUCAGCCUAUUUCAGCCCUCAGAGGGAUAAUUAUGCAUGCAGCUCUGCUCUGCAGAGGGAAAGCACAAAAGGCAGUGUGAAAUUAAAGUCACAGAAGCGGUACUUUCUAGCUGAUUGUCCUCUGCCCCACACCCCCAAAUACAUAAAUGUGGGUAAAAACUACAGACGUGGGUCACAGUGUUUACGUUGACUGUGUGACAGAUUUUCUGCCACUGGGCCUCUGCAUCUUCAUUUGGAAUUUCUGGCUCUGUGUUGCUGAUUCUAAGCACCAUAGAAAUAAUCCCUGCUUUUUCAAUCUCUCUCUCUCUCUCUCUCUCUCUCUCUUUCUGUGUGUGUGUGUGUGUGUGUGUACGUGUGUUGAGUAGGGCGGGGUAAGAUAUCAGGAGGGAAGAAUCCCAGAGAUCUAGAUGAUUCUAUAAUUAAUAAAGAAGGAAGACCCUUCUGGAUUUUUUGCACCAUUCUCGAGUAAAGUCACUGCACAUGCCAUAGCCAUAAUCACUGAAUUUGAUUAAUCAUUGAAGAGAGAGUUGAGCUUUCAAAUGCUCUCCCUUUGGACACGGCAUCAUUCAUAUGUUUAGUGGGUAUUUACUGAGUGUCUACUGAGUGUAUAAUCCCAUUGCUGCUUCUACAUGGACUGUCUUAUUUAAGCCACCUGUGGGUUUGCAAUUGGCCAGGAAAGAAAAGUCGGUGAUAUUAGUCAAAUCAUCCUAAUUGCAGUCACCAUUUAUUGAAUUCUUACUCAUUAGAUAGAUGCUGUGUGAUUUAGGUAACCCUUGCUCGGCCACCACUCGCCGUGACUUCCUUGCCAAAUGGCUAUUAUCAGAAGUUCUGCAACCAGGAUCUGCCAGAUGGGGCUGCAGUCCAGGCUCUUCUGACUACGUAGCCUUGGAUGGCUCCUGGAAGUCAUGUUACCUUCUCAUAGGGACAGGGGCAACAACAGUGACUUUGUGCUGAAAACACCGUGAGUUCAGUGCAGUCCACACAGCCUCACGGAGCAUGAAAACAUCUUGUAGGGUUAAGUUUAGUCUAGGCAGACAUCAUGGAGGAGGUGUCUCCUUGGCAAAUCAUACAAUGAAGGGAGAAUUCAGAUUCCUGGGGAAAUCCACUUGGGCUUGCCUUGGUUUUGGUUUGCUUAGGAAUCGGAUAUAACUGACAAAUGGAAAAGCUACUCUCCUUUCUCUCCCUCCCUUUUUCCUUCAGUAAAGGAGACAGUCUAACUUAAAGGAAGAGAUCUUCUCCCUCUGACUCUCUCUUUUUGCCUGUGCUGAGGUAGGAAAACCCAUCUCCCUAUUCAUCUUCUUCUUCCCUCUCCCCUCAGACUGGAGUUCCCAUCCUGUACUUUGUGGUUUUCACUUAACGAAUGUUAAUGAGACAGCAUUGUAAUCACCGGAUUUUAUAAAUAUCUCAUCCACAAAUUGG